GAUGAACGCUGGCGGCGUGCCUAAUACAUGCAAGUCGAGCGAACGGACGAGAAGCUUGCUUCUCUGAUGUUAGCGGCGGACGGGUGAGUAACACGUGGAUAACCUACCUAUAAGACUUGGAUAACUUCGGGAAACCGGAGCUAAUACCGGCUAAUAUUUUGAACCGCAUGGUUCAAAAGUGAAAGACGGUCUUGCUGUCACUUAUAGAUGUAUCCGCGCUGCAUUAGCUAGUUGGUAAGGUAACGGCUUACCAAGGCAACGAUGCAUAGCCGACCUGAGAGGGUGAUCGGCCACACGGGAACUGAGACACGGUCCAGACUCCUACGGGAGGCAGCAGUAGGGAAUCUUCCGCAAUGGGCGAAAGCCUGACAGAGCAAAGCCGCGUGAGUGAUGAAGGUCUUCGGAUCGUAAAACUCUGUUAUUAGGGAAGAACAUAUGUGUAAGUAACUGUGCACAUCUUGACGGUACCUAAUCAGAAAGCCACGGCUAACUACGUG
This 497-nucleotide ribosomal RNA is filed under the name uncultured bacterium. RNAcentral describes it as "partial 16S ribosomal RNA". It matches the Rfam family "Bacterial small subunit ribosomal RNA", at positions 28 to 507 of the family's 1533-position model. The record is from RNAcentral.